ACCUGGCUGGCUUAGUUGGUAAAGCAAGUGACUCUUGAUCUUGGGGUUGUGAGUUUGAGCCCCACAUUAGGUA
RNAcentral lists this transfer RNA (73 nucleotides) under Ailuropoda melanoleuca (giant panda). It matches the Rfam family "tRNA". Rfam says of the family: Transfer RNA (tRNA) molecules are approximately 80 nucleotides in length. Their secondary structure includes four short double-helical elements and three loops (D, anti-codon, and T loops). Lineage: Eukaryota; Metazoa; Chordata; Mammalia; Carnivora; Ursidae. The record is from Rfam by way of RNAcentral.